UACGUAGGAGGCGAGCGUUGUCCGGAGUUACUGGGCGUAAAGGGUGCGCAGGCGGCGGUUCGCGUGGCGAGAUGAAAUCUCCUGGCUUACCUGGGAGGAUGGUCGCCAGACGGGAUCGCUUGAGGGUCGGAGAGGGGCGUGGAAUUCCGGGUGGAGCGGUGAAAUGCGUAGAGAUCCGGAGGAACACCUGAGGCGAAGGCGGGUUGCUGGGCUGAUACUGACGCUGAGGCGCGAAAGCCAGGGGAGCAAACGGG
RNAcentral lists this ribosomal RNA (254 nucleotides) under uncultured bacterium. RNAcentral's name for it is "partial 16S ribosomal RNA". It matches the Rfam family "Bacterial small subunit ribosomal RNA", at positions 524 to 776 of the family's 1533-position model. The record is from RNAcentral.